This 440-nucleotide ribosomal RNA is filed under the name uncultured bacterium. RNAcentral describes it as "bacterial SSU rRNA". It matches the Rfam family "Bacterial small subunit ribosomal RNA", at positions 333 to 762 of the family's 1533-position model. The record is from RNAcentral.
ACUCCGUAGCGGAGGGCAGCAGGUGGGAAUAUUGCACAAGUGGGCGCAAGCCUGAUGCAGCCAUGCCGCGUGUGUGAAGAAGGCCUUCGGGUUGUAAAGCACUUUCAGUUGUGAGGAAAGGUUAGUCGCUUAAUAUCGGCUAGCUGUGACGUUAGCAACAGAAGAAGCACCGGCUAACUCCGUGCCAGCAGCCGCGGUAAUACGGAGGGUGCGAGCGUUAAUCGGAAUUACUGGGCGUAAAGCGCGUGUAGGUGGCUUGUUAAGCCAGAUGUGAAAGCCCGGGCUCAACCUGGGAACUGCAUUUGGAACUGGCAGGCUAGAGGUUUUGUAGAGGGUGGUAGAAUUUCAGGUGUAGCGGUGAAAUGCGUAGAGAUCUGAAGGAAUACCGGUGGCGAACGGCGGCCCCCUGGACAGAUACUGACACUCAGAUGCGAAAGCGU